Molecule: ribosomal RNA, 589 nt
Filed under: Cryptosporiopsis sp. C_1_BESC_294l
Lineage: Eukaryota; Fungi; Ascomycota; Leotiomycetes; Helotiales; Dermateaceae
Description: eukaryotic LSU rRNA
Rfam family: Eukaryotic large subunit ribosomal RNA
Source: RNAcentral
ACCUCGGAUCAGGUAGGGAUACCCGCUGAACUUAAGCAUAUCAAUAAGCGGAGGAAAAGAAACCAACAGGGAUUACCUCAGUAACGGCGAGUGAAGCGGUAACAGCUCAAAUUUGAAAUCUGGGUCUUUCAGGCUCCGAGUUGUAAUUUGUAGAAGAUGCUUUGGGUGCGGCCCCGGUCUAAGUUCCUUGGAACAGGACGUCAUAGAGGGUGAGAAUCCCGUAUGUGAUCGGUGGCUUGCGCCCGUGUAAAGCUCUUUCGACGAGUCGGGUUGUUUGGGAAUGCAGCUCUAAAUGGGUGGUAAAUUUCAUCUAAAGCUAAAUAUUGGCCAGAGACCGAUAGCGCACAAGUAGAGUGAUCGAAAGAUGAAAAGCACUUUGGAAAGAGAGUUAAACAGUACGUGAAAUUGUUGAAAGGGAAGCGCUUGCAACCAGACUUGCGCGGGGUUGAUCAUCCGGGGUUCUCCCCGGUGCACUCGGCCUCGCUCAGGCCAGCAUCGGUUUCGGUGGUUGGAUAAAGGCCUUGGGAAUGUGGCUCCUCUCGGGGAGUGUUAUAGCCCUCGGUGCAAUGCAGCCUACCGGGACCGAGGA